RNAcentral lists this ribosomal RNA (468 nucleotides) under uncultured bacterium. Its description in RNAcentral is "partial 16S ribosomal RNA". It matches the Rfam family "Bacterial small subunit ribosomal RNA", at positions 28 to 507 of the family's 1533-position model. The record is from RNAcentral.
GACGAACGCUGGCGGCGUGCUUAACACAUGCAAGUCGAACGGAAAGGCCCUGCUUUUGUGGGGUGCUCGAGUGGCGAACGGGUGAGUAACACGUGAGUAACCUGCCCUUGACUUUGGGAUAACUUCAGGAAACUGGGGCUAAUACCGGAUAGGAGCUCCUGCUGCAUGGUGGGGGUUGGAAAGUUUCGGCGGUUGGGGAUGGACUCGCGGCUUAUCAGCUUGUCGGUGGGGGAGUGGCUUACCAAGGCUUUGACGGGUAGCCGGCCUGAGAGGGUGACCGGCCACAUUGGGACUGAGAUACGGCCCAGACUCCUACGGGAGGCAGCAGUGGGGAAUAUUGCACAAUGGGCGGAAGCCUGAUGCAGCAACGCCGCGUGCGGGAUGACGGCCUUCGGGUUGUAAACCGCUUUCGCCUGUGACGAAGCGUGAGUGACGGUAAUGGGUAAAGAAGCACCGGCUAACUACGUG